This 320-nucleotide ribosomal RNA is filed under the name uncultured eukaryote. RNAcentral describes it as "partial 18S ribosomal RNA". It matches the Rfam family "Eukaryotic small subunit ribosomal RNA", at positions 1470 to 1796 of the family's 1831-position model. The record is from RNAcentral.
CCCUUAGAUGUUCUGGGCCGCACGCGCGCUACACUGACGGAGGCAGCGAGCAUGUCCUUCGCCGAGAGGUGUGGGGAAUCUUGUGAGUCUCCGUCGUGCUGGGGAUAGAUGGUUGCAAUUGUCGAUCUUGAACGAGGAAUUCCUAGUAAGCGCGAGUCAUCAGCUCGCGCUGAUUACGUCCCUGCCCUUUGUACACACCGCCCGUCGCACCUACCGAUUGAAUGGUCCGGUGAAAUCUCGGGACGGCGGCUUGGUCGCUUGCGUCCGACUGCUGAAACUUGAUUAAACCAUAUCAUUUAGAGGAAGGUGAAGUCGUAACA